Molecule: long non-coding RNA, 236 nt
Filed under: Gallus gallus (chicken)
Lineage: Eukaryota; Metazoa; Chordata; Aves; Galliformes; Phasianidae
Description: long non-coding RNA NONGGAT007134
Source: RNAcentral
GGUUUCUCCACAUCUGCUGUUAGUUUCAUGUCUCUCUCAUUUUGUCUUGCAUCCAGGUGCACGCAUCCAGCUGUGUCUCUGUCACUGAAGCUUCCCUUGCAACCUCCUCUCCCUUGCCAGAUAAGCAGAGCAGGUCAGCAGAGAGCAGCUUGCCAGUGUGCUGCAUGCUUGUGAGUGCAGGUAGAAAACCUAGAAGCUGCUUCAUAGAAAACUGUCCUCCACCAUCAAAGAGUUAG